This 468-nucleotide ribosomal RNA is filed under the name uncultured bacterium. RNAcentral describes it as "partial 16S ribosomal RNA". It matches the Rfam family "Bacterial small subunit ribosomal RNA", at positions 28 to 507 of the family's 1533-position model. The record is from RNAcentral.
GACGAACGCUGGCGGCGUGCUUAACACAUGCAAGUCGAACGGAAAGGCCCUGCUUUUGUGGGGUGCUCGAGUGGCGAACGGGUGAGUAACACGUGAGUAACCUGCCCUGGACUUUGGGAUAACUUCAGGAAACUGGGGCUAAUACCGGAUAGGAGCUCCUGCUGCAUGGUGGGGGUUGGAAAGUUUCGGCGGUUGGGGAUGGACUCGCGGCUUAUCAGCUUGUUGGUGGGGUAGUGGCUUACCAAGGCUUUGACGGGUAGCCGGCCUGAGAGGGUGACCGGCCACAUUGGGACUGAGAUACGGCCCAGACUCCUACGGGAGGCAGCAGUGGGGAAUAUUGCACAAUGGGCGGAAGCCUGAUGCAGCAACGCCGCGUGCGGGAUGACGGCCUUCGGGUUGUAAACCGCUUUCGCCUGUGACGAAGCGUGAUUGACGGUAAUGGGUAAAGAAGCACCGGCUAACUACGUG